This 639-nucleotide unclassified non-coding RNA is filed under the name Portunus trituberculatus (swimming crab). RNAcentral describes it as "uncharacterized LOC123514375, transcript variant X1". The record is from RNAcentral. Lineage: Eukaryota; Metazoa; Arthropoda; Malacostraca; Decapoda; Portunidae.
ACCGUUGCCUUAGGGAUCACAGAACAGCUGAUUACAUUAUAAGGUGCAAAAAAGCCGCGGCUUCAGGGCUCUCACUUUUAAGGUAAUUACCUUAGUUUAAGGUAAUUUAGAUACUUUUAAGUUAAUGUCUAAGGUAAUGCAAUUUUUAAGGUAUUUCUAAGGUAAUUUGAGUAUAUUUAGGGUAGUGUUUAAGGUAAUUGUUAAAUGCAAUUCUGAUAUACUGUAAUAGCCAAAAUGGGAUGAUAUUUAUGGUUCUGAACAACAACCCCAGUAUAUUCUGCACCACAAACUAUUCUUUACAAAGACUUGGCGAGUCUGGUUCACGUACAGUACAAGUUCAAUUCAGAAGUCGAGAAUAUCAUGACUCCCAUACCCGGUUGUGGACGCGUUCCGUACUCGUCACUGGCUUGUCAUCUAUAAAUACUCUCCGUCGUGACGACGUCGGUACUCUGUUCACAACAACCGUAGCAAACUGCUGGACACAGUAGAUGGCAUCCCAAUACUCGUCUACUCCUGAGGUUAACAAAAGAUGGCUUCUAGGAGUUCGAGGGGAGACUCAAGUAAUGAAGAAGUUGGCUAUAACACUGAUGAUGAAGAUGAAUGACAACAACAGUCUGCAAACAAGAAGCGCAAGGUUAG